CUCGCCCUGACCGUUGGAGCAGCAGAUCCAACGCCUGAAAGUGAGGCCAGGAGGUAGCAGGAGUGGCCUGGGCUUGCACCCUAGCACGCAGCAUGCGCCCCUCCCGCGCCCAAGAGGACUGCAGGGCACUUUGGCUGCAGAGAUAGAGACAGACUGGCUGGAGUGAUAGCAUGUGCAGGGAGACCUGUUUGGAGAUGAAAUGGUCAUCCAGGCUUUCCUCCAGUUGGAAGCUGAGCACCGAGAACUGGGGCCCUGUGUUCUCAUUCUUGCAACCCUAGGGGCCAGGCCACUUCUAGGCACAAGUGCAAGAUGAACUAACAGAUCCCUGUGCCAUGGACCACCUGGAUAGAAAAUCAUAAACCAGAGACUAGAAUAUUCCGGAAACUACGAUUAAGACAUGUCACAAAAAUGUCAUAAGAUGAUGAUUAAUCC
Cervus elaphus (red deer) is the source of this 432-nucleotide long non-coding RNA. RefSeq lists it as uncharacterized. Lineage: Eukaryota; Metazoa; Chordata; Mammalia; Artiodactyla; Cervidae. The transcript has 4 exons. The record is from RefSeq and is a predicted model, not a curated record.